CCGGUGACUCAGUGGUUGACUCAAAGGCUAGAGGGUGGUUUGGGGGUGGAGGCAGAGGUCCAGUGAGCUGGGCUCCACCCUUUCUCUCCCUGCAGUCCCAACUCCAUUUUUAUCUGUGCUAUAUGUUGGAGUCUAGCCAAGAUGUCAUUUGAACAAAGAUUCUGAAAGAUCAAAGAAAAAAGUUUGAAAACCACCAGGACAAUGCUUUCAGGGGACUUUAUCCAAAAGACUGCAACAAUGUAAAGAGAUACGAUUGCUUUUAUUACUGUGAUAUGUUUAAAGUAUUAUAAAUUUUUUAAGAGCUUUGUAAGUGACAGAAGUGAAGACAUGCUCAUUUUAAUGUUACCAGUCAACUCUGAGAAGACUAAAGGUCAAGGGACAAUGAAAAUGUGACCCUUACCAACGACAGAAACUCCCAGGAAGCCACAAUUAACUCAAGACCACCAGGAUAUUUGGGGAAGUUUAUCCUUCUGGAAACCAGAAUUUCUGAUUUGUGGAAAAUUCUAUAGAUAUUCUCUGCCAGACUCCAGCCUAUUUGUGUGAGACAUCUGGGGAGGCUCCCCUUUUUUUCACCAUUUGAGGACUGAAAGUAAAUUUAGCUUCCUCAGCAGAAAGAAAAGAAGCUGUUUUGGAGGUUGGGAAGAGCUUUAGAAAAUGCGGCAUCACGUCUGUUGCCCCAUUUGAAGAAAGCAGCUCUGGAAAAGGCCUAGGACAUUAGUUGCUACAAAGUUCUAGAUCAUUCUGUGUGGUAAAGAAGUGCCUUUCACCUCCCACUGUGAUUCUGAGGCCUCCCCAGCCAUGUGGAACUAUCAGGUCUGUGUUGGUAAAUUAGACACCGUGUGGCCUUUCAACAUCCAGGAGCAAGAUGGCAGGAGAAUCAUGCCAACAACUGAGCCAAAGGUAAGAAGCCAAUAUGAUAUGCAUUUGAUUCUGUUACGGAAAUCCACAUAAAAGAAGGCUGCCCAAGUAUAAAACCAACACAGAAGAAAGCAGAGGUAAGAGAUGGAAAAAGAAAUGAGUGAACCAGUGACAGCAAGAGACUGAAGAACAUCAUUUGAUUGCCUGGAAUCAGCUAAGCCUGAAGAGAAGCCUAACCCUAAGCUUUUCAGUUACCCAAGCCAUCAAAUUCCCAUCCCCAUUUUUUUGGUUCUUAAGCAGCUUGAACCAUAGUUGUCUCACUUGCAUGCAAGAGAUCCCUGAAGAUACAUGCAGUUCCUCAGGUGAAGAUUGCCAUCAGUUAACAGAUCCUGGCACCCAUGGACCCUGGGACAGUCAUUCUGGUAGCAUCCUCUGGUAGAGAAUAACAUAGUCAAAUCUGACAGUCAGAGAGUAUCUGCCAGCCUCUGCUUAGAUAUAGCCCACUGAAAGGGAGAGAUGAUUAAUUUAGCCUUGAUUUCAAAACCUUGUCUUGUAUAUUCCAUUCAGCACUUUUUAUCUUCCUGUAUUCCCCUGGUUCCUCUCUAGCUGAAUAAAGAACAAUUUUUAAAGCAAACAUCUUCACUGUGUAUCUAGCAAAGCUUUCUGCUUCAUUGGAAUAUGUGAUUUAUUUAAAAAAUUAAAUUUCCCAUGAGACGCAAUAAUUUAAAUUAAGAGAAAAGCUUGUCUUUCUUAAACUUCAGUUUCUACAUACAAAUUGAUGUUUUAUAGAUUCCAGAAACUUUCACUGUUAUGAAGAUGGCUCUCAGUUUUCCUGCUGGAUUCAGAUUCUCUUCAUGACUUAAAACAACAUGAGGAGGAUGAGUCACAACUGUAAGCUGGUGAAAUGCAGAAAGAACCACCUAGGAAUUCAAAUGUCAGCUUAAGAAAGACAGAAUGGCUUAAAAAUCAAAGAUGAGAUGAAGUGGACUGGGGGUCUCGGGAACACCAAGUCACAAAAUCAGCUUACAGUCAGAGGGAACUUGCAAAUGAUCUGAUUCAAGAUACAAAGAAAGGUUUUAGUUCUUGAGGACUUUUUCCAGAUAAAUAUUUGAGCCAAAGCACAAUAUAAGAAAAAGAUGCAAGUGGAACAGCUCCUUCAAGCAGUGGGGGAUGUUAAGGAAAAGCAGGGAAAAUCAGCUGAGAAUCCUCCGUCCCACCCCCAAGACUCCUGCAACCUAGCUGAGAGCCACAGAACUGGUCCUCUCUCUCCGGCUGUUCUCCAACAUCCCAGAGCCUUAGGUGGGGCUACACUAAGAGGAAGUCCUCCAAGGAAACUCUCAGGAUUAGACCAGUCUUUUUCUGCUAGUGGUCUUUGAUAAGCCUACAUGGUAAAGAGUGGGAUUCACUGACUUAUCUGUAGUAGAUAUUAUUAAAUAUGUCUCAAAGCAUCUCCCCCACCUUCUCACACCCACCCAUUAGAACAGGAUGUUAUCUACAGGCUGAUACCUCCCCACUCCCUCCACCUCCCUUCUAAUACAUGGCACCAAGACACUGCCUAGGACCUAACAAGUGAUUGGCCCCUCCUUCUCCAAGACAUUCCCCUCUUCCUUUUUCUCUUUUAAGCCCAGAGGGCCUGACCCUCUAACGCCUGUCCCAGACCACUCUCUCCCUCCAGGAGCCUGCCAAGUUGAACACAAAGUCCUACCACCCCUGCCCUCAACACAGACUUCUCCAAAACAAGUCCACAAACACCAUUCAGGAUGAUUCCUGCUAAGACCCACAGGGUGGGAGUGAUAAAAUUUCCAGUAACAUCUACCAUGAUAUUACUUACAAUCCUAAAAGAGGAAAUGUUCUGUAUUACAUAAAACAUGUCCAAGGUCCUCCUACAAGUACGAGUGAAUCCGUGCCUGGUUCUUCUUUGUCUUCGGAUCCUGCCACCUCAUCCCUGUCGUCAUCUGUCUAAGUUUUGCUUUAGAAGCCACCCUCGGUCAAACCUUCACUCUCUUACACAAUGAGCUGGGCAUCCUCAGUUUCCCCUUCAUGCUAAAAGUAAGCCCCAUGUUUUGUGCAUGUGCCCACACCAUUUCCUCAAGUUCUUGCUCCUAAAGGUAACAGGGCCUGGGUAAGGCACUUCCUGCAGAGAUCAAAGGAGACUCGUUCACACCCAGGAGGAGGAAUAUUCUUCCUGUUCUACCCCAUUUAACCCUGUCCCCUCAACCCAGAGGUGUCCUCACUGUCCAGCAAGUGCUUCAGGCCUGCAGUUCUGCUGUUACCCUAUUUUGAAUCUCAUAGGUGUGGAAGCAUGUGUUGGCGGGGAGGGGCAGGAAGGUUUGUCCGCCAGGAAGAAGAAACGAGUGUGUCGGUAUGUGUGUGUGAGCGCCGCAAUGACAGUGCUGCCACCGCUGCUGCUGCAUGUGCUGGGUCUUUGAAUGUGGCAUCUGUCGGGCUCAGUGAGGAUGACAGAUGUCUCUCUGCUUUAUGAACAAACAACACAGGCCUGUGGGGUGACAAAAACAGCCUCAGCCCAACCAGAGCGGAGAGGUGCAGUUCUCUGGGAAUAAUCAGAAGACAGCAGCGUAGGAGUCCAGAGUCUACCACACACCUGCUCCCCUAAAAAAGCAUGUUCUCAUUAUGAAACCUUAGAAGGCAGCUCCCACGCCA
RNAcentral lists this long non-coding RNA (3519 nucleotides) under Homo sapiens (human). RNAcentral's name for it is "HSALNT0358585". Lineage: Eukaryota; Metazoa; Chordata; Mammalia; Primates; Hominidae. The record is from RNAcentral.